RNAcentral lists this ribosomal RNA (499 nucleotides) under uncultured bacterium. RNAcentral's name for it is "bacterial SSU rRNA". It matches the Rfam family "Bacterial small subunit ribosomal RNA", at positions 15 to 507 of the family's 1533-position model. The record is from RNAcentral.
GAUCAUGGCUCAGGAUGAACGCUAGCUACAGGCUUAACACAUGCAAGUCGAGGGGCAGCAUUAGGUAGCAAUACUGAGAUGGCGACCGGCGCACGGGUGCGUAACGCGUAUCCAACUUUCCCGUUACUCUGGGAUAGCCUUCCGAAAGGGAGAUUAAUACCGGAUGGUGUUUGAAUUCCGCAUGUUAUUCAAACUAAAGAUUUAUCGGUAACGGAUAGGGAUGCGUGACAUUAGGUAGAUGGCGGGGUAACGGCCCACCAUGCCCACGAUGUCUAGGGGUUCUGAGAGGACGGUCCCCCACACUGGUACUGAGACACGGACCAGACUCCUACGGGAGGCAGCAGUAAGGAAUAUUGGGCAAUGGAGGCAACUCUGACCCAGCCAUGCCGCGUGAAGGAUGGAGGCCCUACGGGUCGUAAACUUCUUUUGUCAGGGAAUAAAGUCAUCUACGUGUAGAUGUUUGCAGGUACCUGAAGAAUAAGCAUCGGCUAACUCCGUG